CUUUAUCACCAGAUACGUAUAUAUACAUAUAUGUAUCCCUACUUCUCCCUCCCACUAUCGACAAGAAAAAGAAAGCAACAGUCUUUCACUAACAGAAAACAUCUCGUUACAUAUUUGUCAUUCUCCGAUCGGAAAUGGAUUUUCACAGUCUUGCAAGGAAAGAGCUACAAGCUCUCUGCAAGAAGAACAAGAUCCCAGCAAACAUGACCAAUGUCGCCAUGGCCGAUGCUCUCAAAGCUCUUGAGAAGGUGGAACGACUUGAUGAACUCAACACCAGAUCCGAUCCUCAGGAAUCACCGGAGAAAACUAAAAAUGCGGAGCCUCGAACUGCAUGCAGAACCUCUACUAGGAGAAAGCCUAUUAAUGUUGAGCCUGAAAGUUCACAACCCAAGACUCGUACUCGCCAUGCAACAAGAAGAAUGGUUGCUGAAGAGCCUGAGCAAGAAAACAAGAAUGUUAACCUACCGGAGACUCCAGCAAUGACCACCACCAGGAGAAGGGCACCAGCUGCUUCAGCAACCCGAAAAAUGGAUGCCCAAUUGAUGGAAGUUGGGGAGGAUGAGAAACUAGUAGGUCAAGAGAAGAGUGAUGUGCCAGAGACUCCAGCAAUACGAACCUCCCGAAGUAAGACUCCAGCAGUUUCAACUAGGAGGAAAAUUGAGGGUCAGAAGGAUGAGAAAUCGGUUCAGACAGUGUACGCUACAAGGCAGUCAGUGAGAUUGUUGGAGAAAAGCAUGGCAGAGUUGAGCUUGGAGAAAAGGAGAGUUGAAGCUGUGAAGAUUGAGGGAUUGUGUGAGAAAACUAAGGAAGUUGAACAGAAGAAUGAUGUGCCUGGAUGUGAUUCCCAACUUCUUUCAUGCCAAAAUAUAGAUGAGUCGUUAGAGAAUGAAAGUGGAAUGAAGCUUCAAGGGGACAACAAGAGUAAUGACCAGGAAGGGGGUGGUUCAGAAGUUCUUUCAUGGCAGAACUUGGAGCAUUCUCUAGAGAAUCAAAGUGAAAUGAAGCAUGAAUUUCAAGAGGACAAGACUGAUGACCAUGAAAUGGAUAACUCAGUAGUUUCCCUCCAAAACUUGGAUUUACCUCCAGAGAAUAGAAGUGAAAUGAAGAAUGAACUUCAUGACCACAAAAAUAGAACUAACCAUGAAGUGGGUUCAGUCGUUCUUUGCCAGAACACAGAUCAGUUGCUAAAGAGUGAAAGUGAAAAUAAACUUCAAGAGGAUGAAAAGAUAAAUGAUAAUGAAGUGGUUGAUUGCAGUGUGAAAAUGGAAGUAGGUUAUGAGUCUUGCACUAAUUUGGAUAAUGAUUCAGGAUUUGGAAAAGACGAUGAAAACAACAGUAAUAGUUCAGAACAAUCAUUUUUUCUGCUAGUGGAAACCUCAGAAAAGGCAGUAGAUAUGAAUUGUGAUUCCAUGGAUGAGAACGGACCAGAUGUGAUAACUGAAAACUCUGAGACUUUGAAUGCUGCAUUGAAUCCAGAAAUUGAAAAAGAAUUGAAUGGCAAUAAAGAUUCUUUGAUUGUAGAAGUGUCUGAUGACAAUUCUGUUUUAUUCAUGGAAACAAUUGUUAAUAUUCCAUAUGAAGUUUCAGUUGAGGUCAUCGAUUCAUUGACCCCUGAGGUAUCUGAAACUGUGGACAAAAGCUCUGAAAUGAAUUUGAUGGAGAAUGAGCAUCAUGACAUUAAUGAUCCGCAUCCAGAUGCUGCUACUGAGGAAGAUUGUGAUGGCAAUGCCACUGAGGAAGUGUCUGAUAGCAAUGGAUCACUUGAAGAAGUUCAAGAAAAUAACAAUACAGAAAAAAUCCAAGAGAAGGCUCCACUUCUUCCACAAGGUGAUCAUGAGAAGUCAGAGAGCAGAAAGGAACCUCGAAGCCCUGGGUUCAUUCUCCAGUAUGAAAAAUGCAAGGAAGCUUCAGAUAACUUGGCAAAUGAGUAUAAUAUUGAUGAUGUUAAUGUAAUUGAAGCUAAAGAAUCUGACAUGAUAGUCCAGAAAAGCCCUUUCUGUUGUAUUAUGGCUUCUUCAGACAGUGAAGUUGCUGACCAUGUGAUUCCAGAACAAGAAUUUGCUGCGGCUGCAUACAAAUGCAUUCAAACAUUAAACAAGUCGCCAACUUCCUCAAAGCAAAUGUGUCCCUAUCAACCUGUUGUUUCUAGAGAUCAAUUCACAUGUGGCAUGGUGAUCUCCUCACCAUUUGCAGCCAACAUAAUUCAGGUUCAGUCUCCUCUGCCAAAUGAAUCAACAAGGAAAUCUUCUACUAAGAAACAGACAACAAUUCAGAAGAUCAUCUGCAUCUAUGCAGACAUCAACAAAGAGAACAUUGACAACAAUGGCAGAAAAAUAGAGCCUAACAAAGAUAAAGUGAAGAAGGUUGUUAAUGAAGAGAAAUAUGAGGACUUUAGCCUAAGGAAGCUAACUAAGAUGCUGAAAGAACUGCAGAUUGCCAAGGAGGCUAGAAAUGUCUCAAAGGUAAUGACACCAAUACGUCCUUAUUCUUUAGCUAGUCUUUUAAGAACUUGUCAAAUUAGUGUGUUGUAUCGUAAUAAAGCUAAAGCAUGUUCUAUGUACAGCACGUGGGAACUAGACCAGCUUUGCAGGCACUGACAGAGAAUUGUAGAGCCGCUGGUGAACCAGAAAACAAGAACUGAAUUGCUUUGACAUUAAAACUGCAGAAAGUAUGCAUGCAUGCCAGAGGAGUGAUACGAUAGAGCAUGAAUGACCUCUUUUGGGAAUUCAAAACCGAGUUUUUUUUUUUUUUUUGGGUUUUUGGUUUUUGUUUCCUUUACGGCUUUAAUCGCAACCACUCGUACCGUCCUUCCAAUGGCUCGUCCUUGACGAUAUCGUAGUUAUACUUGUCUGCAAAUUGU
RNAcentral lists this unclassified non-coding RNA (2860 nucleotides) under Hevea brasiliensis (rubber tree). The record is from RNAcentral. Lineage: Eukaryota; Viridiplantae; Streptophyta; Magnoliopsida; Malpighiales; Euphorbiaceae.